AUGGAGGGCGGGCGAAGAGGUAAGGUACUCUCUGCACGCUCCAGACCACGAGAAUUUCUUUCCAGUUUCUCAGCCGGGAUUCUGGGGUCUCCAGAGCUGGGAAACAACAGUAAAAGAGGAAGCAGGUGCUCGGCACCUCUUGCUCUCUUGAGCAGCUCAUUGAAGAGAAACAAAGGUGCCUCGAAGGGGACCUCUCUUGGGGGUGAUGAAAAUCUUUUUUCCCUUCUGCUCAUUUGUGUCACAUUCUUCCAUUGGGCCGGGCGACUGACAGGUGCACCCUUCCCCAGGCCCCUUUCAGAGUCCCCUCCCUGCUGUUUGUGUCUCACCCAGAUAUCCAGCAGACACCGCCUUUACAGGAGCUAAAUAUGAUUAGUAGAAACCCUUCCUGACAGCUCCAAAGAGAAGCCCUCAAAUGCAUAUGCUAUUGAGUGCAUCUCAUCGCUGCUGACAGUCACUUUAUCAAUUAAAUUCCACCUUCCCAGUCUUCAGAGACACCACCAACCUCCCUACCUAAUAAAUCACAGACCCCAGUUAUCGUUAAAUGUCCCAUCAGUCUCUAAUAAACCCCUUGCCAACAGGAGCAGGUUAUUUAUUAUGCUGCCUGGACAAAAAUGAAUUGGGCCCCGUUCUCAGAAGAGCAAACGUGAUGCCUUUCUCCCUAAAGACUGAGGCUGUGGUAUUAAAUGGGGCAAUUCAUCAAUGUGGGCCUUGAGCAGAGGGGAGUCUGGUCGAGAGAGAGAGAGAGAGAGAGAGAGAGAGAGAGAGGAACCCGGGCCUUUGCUGCUUCUCCCCUGCUCCUCAUACCUGUCUGAAAACACUAAGGAUUUGGUCACCCCACAGGCCAAGGGGCACAUGUGAAAAUAGUUAUUCUCCACAUCAAAAGUUCGCUAUGUAGGAUCCAACAAGGUCAUGAAACAAAAAUUCUGUCCAGAAGGCCAGAUACUGUUACUUAAUAAACUUGACAUAACUUAAAGUUAUGGAUGGUACUAGUCCACUGAGUAGAUGAACUGAAGAAUACAGGAGGAAGGGUUCCCUUUGCCUGGAAGAGAGAACCAGAAAACACGUGCUCAGUCACUGUUUGUGGGCUAAGCAGCACAUAGGUAAGCACUGACUCUCAAAAAGGGGCGUUUAACACCUAAAAGACCCUGUUAGGUGUGAGAAACAGUGUGUAGAGUGGGCCUUGUAGUUACUGCCUCAUGUUAGAUCCCAAACUGAGAGGAUGCUCGAUGGUCUGCAAGUGACAAUCCAAACUCCUCAGCUUUGUCAUCAAGCCCUAGCCUGUAUUUCCAAUUGCAUUUCUCUCUGUUGUGACCUAACACUAUCCCACUCUGGGCAAGCAUAACAUUAAUUUGAUAUUCCUUGUGGUGGCAGGCAAGGCCCUCUAGACUAUGGGACCAAUAUAUCUCUGCAACCUUAUUCCUGGUAAUUGCUGCCAUACUUGCCUCCGCUCACGCUGAAGCUCAUACCUUCCUAACUGCUGUGGUUCUCAUGCUUCCACGCCUUUGCACAAACUGUUCCUUCUGCCCAGAAUAUCUUUCUACGUUGUCUGCCUGGUGAGCUUUCUUUCCACCCCCACUGCCUGAUUGAAUUCCUUAUCUAUCCUCCAGGAUCAGCUCAGAAAAUCAGUCCCCAGUGCUUCAAGGCACUAGGACUUUGUCUCCUGGUGCUGCUGUCAUGGCAGAAGGACUCGACUCUAGGGAGUAGGAAAAGAGCGAUCUGGGCAUGGAGGUUUUCUUCUAGUUCUGUGCACGCUUUAAACCACUUUGAUUUGAGGUGGGGAGAGAAGAUCAUAGAGUAAAAAGCUGCUGGUCUCUGAAUACCAAAAGCUGUUUUUCUCCAUUUCUCAGAAGUUCUCACUGUCUCCCACAUGACAGCCACACUUUGAGCAGCUAAGGCUCUGAAAAAUGUCAGUGCUGCAUAUAAUUGUACAGCACCUUGUGCUACUUGUAUAUUUCCUCCUUGGUCAGUGCUGUCUGUUUGCACGUAUCUUUCUGCUUGAGGGCAAGUGCUCUGUUUAUUUUGUCCCAUCUUUGUAUCUCCAGCAUUUGGCUGAUUUACAAAUCAGCCUUUAGAUUUAGGCCUUUAGAUUUCUGUUGCAAGAAUGGUACUAGUCCACUGAGUAGAUGAACUGAAGAAUACAGGAGGAAGGGUUCCUUUGCCUGGAAGAGAGAACCAGAAAACACGUGCUCAGUCACUGUUUGUGGGCUAAGCAGCACAUAGGUAAGCACUGACUCUCAAAAGGCGUUUAACACCUAAAAGACCCUGUUAGGUGUGAGAAACAGUGUGUAGAGUGGACCUUGUAGUUACUGCCUCAUGUUAGAUCCCAAACUGAGAGGAUGCUCGAUGGUCUGCAAGUGACAAUCCAAACUCCUCAGCUUUGUCAUCAAGCCCUAGCCUGUAUUUCCAAUUGCAUUUCUCUCUGUUGUGACCUAACACUAUCCCACUCUGGGCAAGCAUAACAUUAAUUUGAUAUUCCUUGUGGUGGCAGGCAAGGCCCUCUAGACUAUGGGACCAAUAUAUCUCUGCAACCUUAUUCCUGGUAAUUGCUGCCAUACUUGCCUCCGUUCACGCUGAAGCUCAUACCUUCCCUAACUGCUGUGGUUUCUCAUGCUUCCACGCCUUUGCACAAACUGUUCCUUCUGCCCAGAAUAUCUUUCUACGUUGUCUGCCUGGUGAGCUUUCUUUCCACCCCCACUGCCUGAUUGAAUUCCUUAUCUAUCCUCCAGGAUCAGCUCAGAAAAUCAGUCCCCAGUGCUUCAAGGCACUAGGACUUUGUCUCCUGGUGCUGCUGUCAUGGCAGAAGGACUCGACUCUAGGGAGUAGGAAAAGAGCGAUCUGGGCAUGGAGGUUUUCUUCUAGUUCUGUGCACGCUUUAAACCACUUUGAUUUGAGGUGGGGAGAGAAGAUCAUAGAGUAAAAAGCUGCUGGUCUCUGAAUACCAAAAGCUGUUUUUCUCCAUUUCUCAGAAGUUCUCACUGUCUCCCACAUGACAGCCACACUUUGAGCAGCUAAGGCUCUGAAAAAUGUCAGUGCUGCAUAUAAUUGUACAGCACCUUGUGCUACUUGUAUAUUUCCUCCUUGGUCAGUGCUGUCUGUUUGCACGUAUCUUUCUGCUUGAGGGCAAGUGCUCUGUUUAUUUUGUCCCAUCUUUGUAUCUCCAGCAUUUGGCUGAUUUACAAAUCAGCCUUUAGAUUUAGGCCUUUAGAUUUCUGUUGCAAGAAUGAAUAGAGAUGUUUGCAGAUUGAAUGCAAAUAAUAAGGUUGCCUACCCUUUGUUGCUCUGAGGAUCAAAUGAGAAAAAGUGGCUAUAAAAAUCUUAGUUCUUGAAAUAUACACAUUACCGUGUGUAAAAUAGUGGGAAGUUGCUGUGUAACAAGGGAGCUCAGCCCAGUGCUCUGUGAUGGCCUAGAGGGGUGGAAUGGGGUAGAGGGGUGGGAGGGAGGUUCAAGAGGGAGGGGAUAUAUGUAUGCUUAUGGCUGAUUCACACUGUUGUAUGGCAGAAGCCAACACAACACUGUAAAGCAAUUAUCCUCCAAUUAAAAAUAAAUCUAAGGACUUCCCUGGUGGUACAGUAGGGAGGAAUCUGCCUACCAGUGCAGGUGACGCGGAUUCAAUCUCUGGUCCAGGAACAUUCCGCAGGCUGUGGAGCAACUAAGCCCUUGUGCCACAACUAUUGAGCCUGUGCUCUACAGUUGCUACUACCGAUCCCCUGUGCUGCCAGUACUGUGCGCCCUAGAGCCUGUGCUCUGCAACGAGAGAAGCCACAGCAAGGAGAAACCUGUGCACCGCAACUAGAGAAACCCCCUCGUGCAAAGAACCCAUGGAACAAAAAAUAAUAAAUAAAUAAAUAAGUGCUAUUAAAAAAAAAACUUAGUUCCUUCCUUUUUUUCCCACAUAGUCCCAUGGAUCCUCACACCCAGGUGGGCCACCUUAUACUCCUGUCUUUAUUUACAUUAUUUACCUUUCCUCUGGGU
RNAcentral lists this long non-coding RNA (3973 nucleotides) under Bos grunniens (domestic yak). Its description in RNAcentral is "lncRNA (ENSBGRG00000004416.1)". The record is from RNAcentral. Lineage: Eukaryota; Metazoa; Chordata; Mammalia; Artiodactyla; Bovidae.